RNAcentral lists this unclassified non-coding RNA (225 nucleotides) under Hevea brasiliensis (rubber tree). Lineage: Eukaryota; Viridiplantae; Streptophyta; Magnoliopsida; Malpighiales; Euphorbiaceae. The record is from RNAcentral.
GUUUUAGGUCUCAGACAACAUCAUUUAAAUAUGUGCUAGCAUAUUGUGAUCUACAAAAUAGGAAGAUGGAAGAAGUUAUUAAAAAGUCAAGAUGAGCUAAUUGCUUGUAUAUGGACCACCGGAUCUUAUAAAGUAGUAUCAAAUAGAUAAUUGAUCUGCCUUCGAAAUUAAAGAGACUGAUUGCUGAUACAAUCAUUGAACAUCGGAAACUCAGGCCUAAACUUU